GGAGAAAUUGUAUUAUGACUUUUUCAAGGUACUUAUUUUCAUAUAGCUCAUUUAUUUAUGCAUCCAUAUAUUAAGUAUGCUUGAUGACGAAGGGCAUGUACUUUGAGGUCAGUGGAGAGUCAGGGGUUAAAUGGAGGUCUUUGGUGAAUUAUACUCUCUGGUAAGGUAAUUAGCAAGUAUUUAUUGUUGUGGGAGGCAACGUGGGCAUGGUGGAGAGAAGGUGCAGUUUGGACACAAAUCUGGCUCAGACCUCUGCUUUGCUAUUUAAUAAUUGUGUCUGAACCUGUUACUUUCCUGGGAUGAACCUUAGCUUCUUUAUGUUUUUAUGCUCAGUCAUAUCUGACUCCACAGCCCCAUGGACUGUAGCCACCAGGCUCCUCUGUUCUUGGGAUUCUCUAGGCAAGAAUACUGCAGUGGGUUGCCAUUCAUCCUUCAGGGGAUCUUCUGACCCAGGGAUUAAACCUACAUCUCCUGUGUCUCCUGUAUUGGCAGGUGGAUUCUUUACCACUUGGGCCAUCGGGGAAGCCCAAGUUUAUAAUGCACCCCCCACCGCAGGAAUUUUCCUUGAGGGUUAAAUAAGAUAACACAUCUGAAAUGCUUACCAUGGAAGUAAUAAUCAGUACAUGGUAAUUGUUAUUUAUGUACUAAAUCUCUGUUGGCAGUCUUCUAGGGAUUGUUAGUGGGAUUCUUUCAAAAGUUAUGAGUUAAUAUGUCUACAAGGCCACAAAAAAUGUUGACAGACAUGUAUUUGACACACAAAAAAUUAGGACAGCUUGUGAUUAAGUGUUAUUUGUACAGAAACAGCAGCAGCAAUGAAAUAACAACCUAGGGAAUGAUUGUCAGUGACUCCUGAAACUUAGGUCAAAGGGCAAUUGGGAACUUUAUAAUUGAUAACAUCAGACAGAGAAUCCCUGUACCCACUGAUCAGUGUUAACGUUACAAAAAGAGAAAAAAGUAAAUACGUGCCCCCUAAUUGGAUAAAAUAGGAAAUAUAUAGAACCAUUUGACAUUACUUAUCAAAAACCUGAAUAUGAUUCUAAUUAAGACUUUGUUUCUAACUGCUAGUUUAUAAGAAGCACAGGAAAAAGGGGACCAUGUUUAAAAAUAUCAUGGAGAUGUGAUCAGCCAAAUCCAGAAUGUAGAUAUAUCUGCAGAACAAGUUAUUUUGUUUGUUCAGUAAAUAAAUGGCAAGAAAAACAAAAGAAGGAAGAACUAUUAUUUUUUUCCCCAAAGUCAGUGUCAGAUAAGUGUUUUCAUUUAUUAUAUUUGAAAAAGUUGCCUGAGACUUAAGAGACAUAAGUAUUUUUGUAUCUUGAUUUGGCUAAAUCACCACAAAGUUAUAAAUUAUAAAUAUGAAAUUAAGGCAAUUUGGGAAAUUUAAACUCUGGAUUUAGACACAUUAAAGGACUUUAACAAAGGGAAUGAUCAUGGUAUUAUUUAAAAAAGAGUAUUUCUUAAAUAUACAUAAUAAAAAAUUUUCAGUUUGUAUAAUAUUGUGUUAGUUUCCUAUAACUAUGGUAACAUUACCACUGACUGGGUGGAUCAAACAACAGAAGUUAUUCUCUCAUAGUUCUGGAGACUCGAAGUCUAAAGUCAAGGAGUAGGCAAGGCCAUGGUCCCUGUGCGAUGCUAGGGGAGAAUUCUUUCUUCUUCGCUGGAAGCUGUCCUUGGUCUGUGACUGCAUCUCUCUGUCCCACCUCGCUUGGCUUUCUCCUCUUGGGGUGUCUGUGUCUUGUCUCCUCUCCCUCUUUCCUAUAAGGAUACAUGGGAUUGCAUUUAGGACUUACUUGGAUAAUCCAAGAUGAAUUCCUCCUUAAGACUGAAAGUUAUAGCUGUAUUUUUUCCCCUAUAUAAACUAAUAUUCAGAGCAUCUGGGGAUUGGGAAGUGACAUAUCUUUGUGGGC
Molecule: long non-coding RNA, 1904 nt
Organism: Bos taurus (domestic cattle)
Lineage: Eukaryota; Metazoa; Chordata; Mammalia; Artiodactyla; Bovidae
Source: Ensembl